UCAAAACAGGUUUGAUACAUCUACUACCUAAAUUUAGAGGUUUGGAGCAUGAAAAUCCACAAAGCACUUGAAGGAAUUUCAUUUUGUUUGUUCAUCCAUGGGACCACAAGGCAUAUCUGAAGAGCAUGUUAAAUUAAAAGCAUUCCCAUUCUCACUUGAUGAUUAUGCCAAAGAUUGGUUAUUUUACUUGCCACCUGGAUCAAUCACUUCUUGGGAAGGUAUGGUAAGAGCCUUUCUGAAUAAAUAUUUUCUAACUUCUAAAAUAAUAGGCAUAAGAAGAGAGAUUAGUUGCAUUAAGCAAGAAGAAACUGAAGAUUUGUAUGAUUACUGGGAAAGAUUUAAUAGAUUGUGUACAAAUUGUCCUCAACAUGACAUUUCAAAAAGAUCACUCAUAGAAUUCUUCUGUGGAGGUUUGCUACCAUCCGAAAGGAAAUUUAUUGAUGUAGCAUGUAGAGGUUCAAUUAAAGAUAGCACACCUCAAGCAAUUAGAGAGUUGAUUUCAAGACUUGCAGUAGCAUCUAGACAAUAUGGAGAUGAAAAGCAAUUGCAAAAAGGAGUCAAUGAGGUAGGUACAUCUGUUCUCACUUCUCAAAUUUCUGAACUAACCUCUGCUUUGAAAAGUCUUGUUAUAGGUUAAGCUCAACAACUUCAACAAGUACAUGCAUUUGAAGGAUCCUAUGGACAACCAAGACAUGAUCCUUACCUUGACACCUACAAUCCAUGUUGGGGAGACCAUCCGAAUUUUGGCUAUGCUAGGGCUAACAACUACCAGGACUAUCAAGGAUAUCAAGCCCAACCAGCACCUCCAAGUUCCAACCAACACCUUGAGAAGAUGAUGGAGACAUUGGCAAGUUCUAUGCAAAGCAUCCAACAGUAGAUAGAACAAAUGACCACCUCAUUAAAUGCAAACAUGUUAAGGAGAGAGGAAGAGUUUCAAGAUGAUAAGACAAAUGAUGAAAGUUCACAAGUACAACAACAAGCUGCUGAAGAGAAACAACCAGAAAAUUGUUUGCCUAAACAAACUGAUCAAACAUAAUCUGUUGAUAAUUUAGAUAUCAUUGAUUGUUUGAGUGAAAAUGUUUUUUCUGUAAAUCA
Molecule: long non-coding RNA, 1095 nt
Filed under: Manihot esculenta (cassava)
Lineage: Eukaryota; Viridiplantae; Streptophyta; Magnoliopsida; Malpighiales; Euphorbiaceae
Description: long non-coding RNA (MESC_LNC004121)
Source: RNAcentral